CCUACGGGAGGCAGCAGUGAGGAAUAUUGGUCAAUGGACGAGAGCCUGAACCAGCCAAGUAGCGUGAAGGAUGACUGCCCUAUGGGUUGUAAACUUCUUUUAUAUGGGAAUAAAAUGUUCCACGUGUGGGAUUUUGUAUGUACCAUAUGAAUAAGGAUCGGCUAACUCCGUGCCAGCAGCCGCGGUAAUACGGAGGAUGCGAGCGUUAUCCGGAUUUAUUGGGUUUAAAGGGAGCGUAGGUGGAUUGUUAAGUCAGUUGUGAAAGUUUGCGGCUCAACCGUAAAAUUGCAGUUGAAACUGGCAGUCUUGAGUACAGUAGAGGUAGGCGGAAUUCGUGGUGUAGCGGUGAAAUGCUUAGAUAUCACGAAGAACUCCGAUUGCGAAGGCAGCUCACUGGACUGCAACUGACGCUGAGGCUCGAAAGUGAGGGUAUCAAACAGGAUUAGAUACCCUAGUAGUC
RNAcentral lists this ribosomal RNA (460 nucleotides) under uncultured bacterium. RNAcentral's name for it is "partial 16S ribosomal RNA". It matches the Rfam family "Bacterial small subunit ribosomal RNA", at positions 338 to 795 of the family's 1533-position model. The record is from RNAcentral.